Molecule: long non-coding RNA, 621 nt
Filed under: Anas platyrhynchos platyrhynchos (common mallard)
Lineage: Eukaryota; Metazoa; Chordata; Aves; Anseriformes; Anatidae
Description: lncRNA (ENSAPLG00000022963.1)
Source: RNAcentral
ACAUUGUUGACUUUCUGGGAGCUGGUUGAUCCUGUCAUGAAGAAGCAAGAGAGGGUUGAUCUGCAAAGGAUGGGAGCAAGGAGUCAGACUGGCAAAGCAGUGCCUUCACCAACGCAGAUUCAAGCCCAGAGUGCUCCAACCAGAAUGGACCAGGUCCAGAGAGCAUAACCAGGGCAGUCAGGAUCCCAGAAAAUAAACUAUGGAAAGAACUACACAGGUAACCCAAAUGGAAAACAUCAACCCUUUUGGUGAGUGGAUGUGGAGAGAUCUCACUUUUGUUUUUUUGUUUGGAAGAACUCCUGCAUAUCUUUUCUCUCUGUGCCUUUUUUCCUUUAACACUAUAAAAAGAAUUUUUUACCUCACAUCUGUUCUUCUGCUACCAAAUUCCCUUAAAUCUAUUAAACUGCUAGACUGUACUGAUUCUAGAAGGUAGCCUUGUAGUUACUCUUUUGUUUGUUAUGAAAUUGCUCUUUUCUUAUUAUUUUUCCAGCAGAAGCUAAAUCAACAAUUUAUUUUGUGUCUUUGUAUCCAUUAUUUUGUAUGAAUUCACACAAAGACGGAUUAGUACCCUUGCUAUGGACAACCCAAAUAAAACCUCAAUUAUUUGGAAAUUGAAUUUCA